CGUGCCUCUCAGCGCUAACUACUCUCCGUGUGUCUGCUCCCACUAUACAAGCCCACAUGCACACUCAUGUGUUUUGUUCGCGCUGCUCAACGCGCCUGUAACCGGCGUUCGAUACUGUGCAGGUGUGCCUUUCACAAGUUUCUAUCUCUCAUAUACGCAGACUAGCUUUCUUCCUCCAAAGAACACAGGUGGAGAAAAAAGGGAGGGAAAGGAAGCAGAGCAGAGAGAGGAGGGUGGGGCGGGGUGGGAGCUGCAUGACUGCGCAGUUCCAGUGGGGACGGGUGCAUCUCGCAGAUCUUCGGAUUGCACAACCCCAUGCGCGGAUUUACUACCUCAUUCCUUUACAAGCGUUUUUGUUUUCGCUGGCCUCACACACCACCACUCGCACAACCUCCAUCAUCACUUUGGCGCGGUACGACUACAAAACACUACACACCCACACGAAAACCCUCUCCCCUCCUCGGCGAGCAGGGAGGACAAAAAGAGGAGCGGUAGCGUGUCUCUGGCAGUUCAUCGCUUCUUGGCAUCAUAUAUGGUUUUUCUUCUGCUUUCUCUCCCAUGCGGCUUGCUGCUUUUUCUUUUUUUUUCGCUUGAUCCUUUUCCCCUUUGCCCUCAUGCCGCUCUCCGCUCCGUCGCCCUUUUGCGCGACAAAUCGCAGAUGCCGUGCUAUACAGGAAUAGAAGCACACAGGCACAACACACGUGCGCCAGCGCGCAGACACAUGGUCGGCGCGCUGUGCGUAUAAGAGAACACACGCGCCUGCGCCUGCGUCUGCGCAUGCGUGCGUGUAGGUUUGCGCGGUAUGGAGAGGAGAUGAUGUGGUGCAGGUUUCAUUUUGGUGUUCUCGUUCUGCUGGGUGAUGAAUGAUGUGGACGAAGAACAUCACGAAAAGGAAAGAGAUGGGCUAUUCGUUCUACUACUUCGUGCUUCCGUGCUCUGCCCAUUUUUGUGUGCUUUUCAAACGCGGCCUCUGUCGCGACUGUGAUUUACUCUUCUCUCGAUCAUGCUUGCGGAUAUGGACCUCUCACGAUUUCAUGCCCGAGACCAUCUCUUUCUUUUUGCACCAUCCACUACCGUCGGGUUCCCAAGUCGCAGCACAUACUCGCUCCUCUUCCUCUUUGUUUUUCCCCACUUUUCGCUCUUGUUGUUUGUAUAGCCGAAACUUUUACUUUUCUUCCUGAUCAUACUCUCUUUCCGUUUUUCUUUUUUUUUUGCUUUAAGAGCACCACCACCACCCAGCCCCUUUCUUUCCUUUUUUAUCCGUUGUCGUUGUUUCAUUGGUCCCGCUGCCUUUCUGUUUUCUCAUUUUGGUAUUGCAUUUGCUAUAUAGCUUUCUCUCUCUCUUCUCCCUCCAUACUGCUUGUUCUCCUCUCACGUAGACUCCCUCUCUUUUUUCCGCUCACUUACUUUUUGUUGUUUCGCCUUCUCUCGACCUUUGUCUUUCACUGAUUCUUUCGUUCGCCGCCUCAUAUGUUAGCCAUACUCUUCCGCUCCUUUCCUUCCUCCUCUUCCCCCUCCCCAUCCCGCCUCACCAUCAUACACAACGCUCGCUUUCCGUUCCUCCUCGUCCUUACGACUUGUUCGUCGUCAUGCUCCCACUUCUUUCUCCUCCUCCGCCUCCUCCUCCGGCGUCACCUCCGCACUCGCCCUCGUGCGUGUCUCUCCGAUUCACCGGCUCGGUGGCAGUGUGCCAUCUGACGCCUUUUUGUUGUUGUUCUCGUCCGUCAUGUGCGCGCGUGUUUGUGAGCUGCCCUUCACCCAAAGCACAAGUUGAAGGAAUGGUAACGGACGAACCCCAAAAACGCUGACCAAGAAGGAGCAAAAAAAAGCGAGGCGAAUAAGUAAGGAACGGCGCCAUCUGUUCUACGGCGAGGCUUUCUCCCUUUAGAUGACCAAGACCGAAAACUCCCAGGUACGGUAUAUUUUGAGACAGCUGCCAAGGAGAGGUGAGCGGUGCGUGCGAUUCAUGUUGCGCAGACAAACACUUUUCUUGGGUUCUUUUUUUUUUGUUGCUGCUUUACUCCCCCUUUUUAUUUCGCUCUGUGAUCCCUCUUGUCCCUUUUCCUUUUUCGUUUUAUUUUCUUUGACUCCCUUUUUCCUAAUUCUCUUGGUUUUGUGCUGUGGCGUGCUUGUGCUCAUUUUGACUGUGUGUGUGUGUCGUUUCCCCCUUUCUCCCUCUCUUCUUCAUUUUACUUUUCCCCACCUCGGUCUUUCUCGAUCUUCGCCAUUCCUCUCUCGAUUUUCAUGUUUUCAUGUUUUUUUUUCCACCCGUGCCGUUCCAAACGCCCUUCCUCUAGCUCUCUUGCCCCGACUACCCUUCCUUUCUUCUCUCCCUCUCCUGCUUUGCAAUAGCCGCGAAAACACACACACACACACAGAUACCAAAAAGAAAAUCUGACUCUUCUAUAUUUCAUCGGGACCGUUUUUCUUUCUCGCCUCUCUGUUGUGCUCGGCUUUCUUGUCUUCUCUCUGUUUGCCUUUGUCUCUCCCUUCCUUCCGCUCCCCUCGCGUUCCCGUUAUAUCUUUUCCCCUCUUCCCUGUUUCACUUACGGUUUGCGGUGCGUCUACGUUCGAAGCUCCCCAAAAGUAUUUUUAGUUUCCGGCUUGCACACACGUAUACACACAUCCUUGUAGGUGUCUUAUGGUUUUCUCUCUCUCUCUCGUUCUGUUUGUGGCCCCCCCUCCCUUCCCCACUCUUCCCCAGCGGCUGACGCGGCAUCCACGACGUACAUGAACGUGCCGUGUGCAUGCGCUUUUUUUAGCUGAUACGCGACCUCACACCGAACAAAUAGAUGACGGAGAGAAAAGGGCAAACCAAAAAAGUGAAUAAAUGAAAACAGCAACAGCUAAAGAGGAGAGAGAGAGUGGACGUGAGGGAGCGCGGGGGCUGUCCAGCGCGGCGUUCGCGUUCUUCUCUUCUCGUGUUUGCCUUUUCGUUUUUCUUAUUUCAUUUUUUGUUUUUGUUUUCUGUCAGGCGGAAAUCCGUCUUCGGCUUUUCUCCCCUAUGGCGUGUUCAUUAGCGCAUGCGGCUUCUUGUGUUCAUCCCAUGCACCCACGCACGCGUGCACACUCACGCGCGCGCGCGCACACACACACAGCAUCACUUCAUCCCCUCUUUUGCUUGUUUAGCACCCCCACUGCCGCCUCUCUUCUCUCAUUAUCUUUUUCCACUCAUGGCAUGUCUCCGCCCAUCUCCCAAACAUGCGUGAGUGCAUAUGAACAUGUUUCUUAUGCCUUCGUGCGGUUCUCUCACCGUUCUCAUGUGUGGUCGUUGGAGCAGCAUUCACAAAAGUGUCUCAUGCCCUUCUUUCCCCUGCUCCGUUCUCUCUCUAUACGUGCGCAUGUGUGUGUUUUGUGCGCCGGUGUUGCUUCGAUCACGAUAUACAGCGUCAUGCCGAGGAAAAAAAAAACACACAAACAGCAGACGAAAACGACAACGAAAGAAGCGGAGAGUGGACGAAGGGAGGCGACGAUGCGAACCCAAGAACUCUCGCACCCAAGGAGUAAACCACUCCACCCUACUCCUCCCCCCCAAAAAAAAGAAGAAACAAAACCCCCCAAAAAGGUCGUAGAAUGCACAGGAACGAUGAUAAUAAUAAUAAGUAAGACGCACACACACAGACAGACGAAGGAAAAAAAAAGCCGUGACAUAUGCUGAUGUUUUCCUUUUUAUUAUUAUUUGCAUUCUUUUCAUGUGCGCUUUCUCUUCUUUUCGGCCUCUUUGCGUUAUGGUGCCCUGCUUCCACACUUUCAGCGCUGCUCUGCGCAUGUGGAACAGCAACAGCAAGCAGCGGUAACGAAGAACACGAAACAAAAAGAAAGACUACAUGAAAGACGAAAACAUGUGAGAUGACGACAAGGAGAGACAGAGAAGGGAAGGGAGCCAAUUGGAAAAAAAAUCUUGCGGUGCUCGUACAAGGGAAACAGACAGCUUGGCAGAGAGAGAGAGCACAAGGGGGAGAGAGACUCAUGAGCUAGAAAGUAGCGUUGAAGAGUGAAACUACUCACGCGUCUUUUCUCCUUCGUCGUCGCUGCUUCUACCUCUCGCUGAACGUCAUUUUUCGUUCUACGUCUGACGUGCCGACGGCGCAUCGCCGUUCCCUGCAGUGGAGAGGAGGAGGGGGAAAAGUGCCGAAGGCGAACAAUCAAAGGAGGGAACAUAACAAAAAUCAAACAUUAUGGCCCCGCGCGCACGUCCUUCUCCCCCCACCUCUCUCUUCCUCUUCCCGAUGCCUCCUCCUCUCUGCCGUGUUCUCUUGUUCCCUUUGCCCCUUCCACGUCAUUACUCAUGUUUUUUUUUCUUUUGUCCCCCUUGUUUGGGGUGUUUCUACCCUGAGCUCGUCUUUGUUGUUCAUUUAGUGGAGACACGCGCGUGCGCGUCUUAUUUUUGUGUGAGCGAGUGCUUUCUCUCCGCCCCCCUCUUCGAGCCUCCUUGCUGUCUCUCUGCUAAAUCCUCAACUCACUUCGUCUUUUGCUGUGUGUGCGAUCUUCUCCAUGUCUCCUCUUUGUUAGAUCUUUUUUAGUGUUGUUUCUCUUUUCCAGAGUUCUCUAGUCUGUUGUUCGGUUGGAUGGCGUGCCAGAGAGCGCCCUUUUUUCUUCGUGUCUUUCGCUUGUCUUCUCUGUCCAUUUCAUUUCCACCCACCCCCACCCUUUUUGUCCUUGUGUGCGCCUGAAAGCUGCAGCGUACACAAGUGUACGCCUCUUUUUCUUUUCCGCCGCCGUGGUCUGGGCUCGCGCGAGCGCGCGCGUGUGCUCAUCGGUGUCUGUGUCUGUAUGUGUGUGCCUCUCUCUGUCUCUGCGCCCGAGAGAUCCGCCAAACGGUUUUCUUUUUCUAUUGCCUUCUUUGGUGUCUUUACUCGUCGUCCUUCGCUCUUCUUUGCUCUUGUGUGAUGCAUGACCGCUUCUCAUUGCGGGCCUUUCAUUUUGUUCGUGCGCUCCUUUAUCUAAGUUUGUUUCGCCCCGACUUGUAUUUUCGUGAGGGAAACAGCAACACAAAGAAAACGCAUUAAACCAAAAAAAAAGAUGAACCGAUACACUCAUGCUUUUGAACUUUUUGCUUUUCACCAUUUUAGUUGUGGAGGGAAAAUGUUACGCUAUGGGGCGGGCGACAAUGUAUCUUACCCCCUCUCGCUGUGUGUGUAUGUGUGUGUGUGUGUGCGAGUGACUUCAGCCGCUGUCUGCAUCUCUCUCGAUCUCUCUUUCUCUUCGGGAGUGCAUGUGCCGAUGUGUUUGUGCUCAGAUGUGAAGUCUGCUUCCUGUUGCCCGCGAUGCUAAACGAAGCCUUUUUUUAAAGGUCUUUUUUCGUUUCUGUUUGCCUCGUUUUUGGUUGCCGGAGAGAACGAAGAACGCAAUAACGUCACUUAAUAACAAGGAACCGAUGGGAAGAAUAGGAGCAGAGAUUGGAGUUGUGUGUGUGUAAAAGGGUGUCCCUCACGGUUUCCCCGUUCCCCGCCCCCCGACUCUUAACCUCUGUCACGGGAAUAAAACGGCACGGGUGAUGCUCUUGUGGCAGUACCCACGCACACAUUCCCUAUAUAUGUCUCCUUCCCGCCUCUGCUCUAGUUCUCUCCCUCCACACGCCUCUUCCUUUUCGUUUAUAG
RNAcentral lists this unclassified non-coding RNA (5600 nucleotides) under Leishmania donovani. Its description in RNAcentral is "gene:unknown". The record is from RNAcentral. Lineage: Eukaryota; Euglenozoa; Kinetoplastea; Trypanosomatida; Trypanosomatidae.